UUGGAGGGCAAGUCUGGUGCCAGCAGCCGCGGUAAUUCCAGCUCCAAUAGCGUAUAUUAAAGUUGUUGCAGUUAAAAAGCUCGUAGUUGAACCUUGGGCCUGGCUGGCCGGUCCGCCUCACCGCGUGCACUGGUUCGGCCGGGCCUUUCCCUCUGGGGGAGCCGCAUGCUCUUUAUUGAGUGUGUCGGGGAACCAGGACUUUUACNGUGAAAAAAUUGAGUGUUCAAAGCAGGCCUAUGCUCGAAUACAUUAGCAUGGAAUAA
This 263-nucleotide ribosomal RNA is filed under the name uncultured Ascomycota. Its description in RNAcentral is "partial 18S ribosomal RNA". It matches the Rfam family "Eukaryotic small subunit ribosomal RNA", at positions 548 to 817 of the family's 1831-position model. Lineage: Eukaryota; Fungi; Ascomycota. The record is from RNAcentral.